RNAcentral lists this ribosomal RNA (401 nucleotides) under Hypophthalmichthys molitrix (silver carp). RNAcentral describes it as "partial 12S ribosomal RNA". The record is from RNAcentral. Lineage: Eukaryota; Metazoa; Chordata; Actinopteri; Cypriniformes; Xenocyprididae.
CAAAGGCAUGGUCCUGACCUUAUUAUCAGCUCUUACCCGACUUACACAUGCAAGUCUCCGCAAUCCCGUGAGUAUGCCCUCAAUCCCCUGCCCGGGGACGAGGAGCGGGCAUCAGGCACAAAUUUUAGCCCAAGACGCCUGGCCAAGCCACACCCCCAAGGGAAUUCAGCAGUGAUAAACAUUAAGCCAUAAGUGAAAACUUGACUCAGUCAAGGUAAAGAGGGCCGGUAAAACUCGUGCCAGCCACCGCGGUUAAACGAGAGGCCCUAGUUGAUAAAACCACGGCGUAAAGGGUGGUUAAGGAAAGCAAAACAAAUUAAAGCCAAAUGGCCCUUUGGCCGUCAUACGCUUCUAGGUGUCCGAAGCCCAAUUAUACGAAAGUAGCUUUAUUAAAGCCCACC